RNAcentral lists this unclassified non-coding RNA (403 nucleotides) under soil metagenome. RNAcentral's name for it is "partial contains 5.8S ribosomal RNA, internal transcribed spacer 2, and large subunit ribosomal RNA". The stretch from base 1 to 120 matches the Rfam family "5.8S ribosomal RNA", at positions 35 to 154 of the family's 154-position model. The record is from RNAcentral.
GAUGAAGAACGUAGCGAAAUGCGAUAAGUAAUGUGAAUUGCAGAAUUCAGUGAAUCAUCGAAUCUUUGAACGCACCUUGCGCCCUUUGGCAUUCCGAAGGGCAUGCCUUUUUGAGUAUCAUGAACACCUCAACUCUUCAUGGUUUUCCAUGAUGAGCUUGGACUUUGGGGGUCUUGCUGGCCUGCGGUCGGCUCCUCUCAAAUGAAUCAGCUUACCAGUGUUUGGUGGGCAUCACAGGUGUGAUAACUAUCUGCGCUUGUGGUUUUCCACCAAGUAACCUUCAGCAGUGGAGGUUCACUGGAGCUCACAGACGUCUCUCCUCAGUGAGGACAGCCCUUUGAAUGUUUGAUCUCAAAUCAGGUAGGACUACCCGCUGAACUUAAGCAUAUCAAUAAGCGGAGGA